Small nuclear RNA from Peromyscus leucopus (white-footed mouse), 102 nucleotides. Lineage: Eukaryota; Metazoa; Chordata; Mammalia; Rodentia; Cricetidae. The record is from RefSeq and is a predicted model, not a curated record.
GCUCAAUUCAGUGGUACAUUUGCAAAAAAUGGAAAAAUACAGAUUAGCAUGGCCUCUGAACAAAGAUAGCAUGCAAAUUAGUGUGGGGCAUUCUAAACUUUU